This 4813-nucleotide long non-coding RNA is filed under the name Sus scrofa (pig). RNAcentral describes it as "lncRNA (ENSSSCG00025048688.1)". Lineage: Eukaryota; Metazoa; Chordata; Mammalia; Artiodactyla; Suidae. The record is from RNAcentral.
UUUUUUUUUGAAGAGAAAGGCUUAACUCUUUUACAAGGAUUAAGGCUUAUGUCACUGGUUGAGAAAAACAACUCUGCCACCCUCUCCACAGGUGAUUAAAGCAUUAAGUGAACAAAACAUAACUCGGUAGGACUGGACAGAACAGAAGUCAGCCCUAUCUGAAAUGGCUUGGUGACAUUGUUCCCCCAAUAAUGGCUUCCUGAUUAGGCAGUGGCAAACCUGCCCCAUUAAAUCAUUUCUUUAGCAAAGAAUAAGCCUUAAGUAAAAGAGAGAAGUCAGGUCAUUUGGAGGCAGGAUGUAAACUAAAUGAUGUGAAUAAGCUAUUUCAGUUCUUUGUGGCUCUCAUGCAUUUCAGUCUGUAAACAUGGGACCCAGGGGAUCAGAAGAUUUAAAGAGAUGCCAUUGCUUGUUUCUACCAUAUUCUUACAAUUUCUCGCAAUUAAUAUUCCAUUAUCAAUGGUAAUCUAAGCAAACUUAAAAUCCCUGGUUUUUCCAUUCCAAGAAUUUUUUUUUCUUUUUAGGGCCACAGCCACAGCAUGUGGAAGUUCCCAGGCUAGGGCUCCAGUCAGAGCUGCAACUUCUGGCCUAUGCCACAGCCACAGUAACACCAGAUCUGAGCUGCAUCUGUAACUUGCACCACAGCUCACAGCAAUGUCAGAUUCUUAAUGCACUGAGCUAGUCUAGGAAUCGAACCCACAUCCUCAUGGAUACUAGUUGGGUUCAUUUCCACUGAGCCACCACAGGAACACCCAUUCCAAGCAAUUUUUAAAGUUCUCUGAUAGUUUUCCCUAUCAUAGAAUUCCAACGUCUUCUCCACUAUUUUCUUCUGUAGUCAAGACGAAUCAGAGAAAAUGAUCUAUAUUUCUGCCUCUAGACCCAUACUACUUUUUUUCAAACUUCUCUGUGUAGAAAUAUUCUACAGCCCAUGAAAGUCCAAAGCUUCUAUAUUUCCUCAUGCCAUAUUCCUUUUGUUUCUUUCUUAUUUACAAUUACGUGUCCAUGAGCUAUAAGGUAAGCAGUAUGUUACUGAAAAACACAAACCACAGUGACUUAGCCAAAUAUAGGUCUAAAUUUUUGCACAAAAAGGAAGAAAGGCCUCCCAUGGACGAUGGCCAACGCAGAGGCUCUACUCUUCCAUCAGGAUCACAGGUGCUCUGGCAUUUCUGCUUAAACAUCCUUGAGUGUGGCUUCUGUCCUUGUGCCUGUGGUUGCAAAAGGGCUGAAAAUAGCCGUUUCACCUCCAACAUUGCAUCGGUAUCCAGGUAGAAAGAAAAAAGGCAAAAGGCAUGUGCCACCUGAGUCUUCUGAAAGCCCCCCAAUAAAAUCUGGAACAAGACAAGGGUUUUUUGUUUGUUUGUUUUUUUUUUCUUUUGAGCUAGGAAGCUUAUUUCUCUGAACAAAAUCAAGAUUUGGCUGAUGUAAAUAAAAGAGAAAAUGGAGGUUGAGGAAUUGUUCCACAGUUUCUGAUUCAAGGAAUGCAAAACAAAAUGGACAUUGUAGUGAUAUGUAUCAGGCAGCAACCGUGUUUCUCUGAAUCUGUUUACGAGCAAGGGUUUGGGUUAGCGCGAGCCAUAACGGAUAUUUGGACUACAUUGGAAGGUAAGAGCGAAGCAGCAGACAUAUUCCUUUUACACUUGGGUGGUCUGGGCAAGCUACCAGGUACAGUUAUAUUCACUUACUUGUCACUGAUGUCUGCCAUUGUUUCUGUGUUUGGCACUGGUACUGAAUUUAGCAGGGCAGAGAGUCUCUCAACUUUCCAAAACAGAAACAAUGACAGACAUCAAGUGUUUGACCAACUUACAGAAUCACAUAAGCUCAAAUCCCUAAGAUAAAGAUCAUAAUCUCUAUUAUUCUUAGCGAUUCUGAUUCUCUGAUCAAAUAAUGACUGAUUAAAAAACGAAAAGAAUCCUCCACUUUGUAGACGAAGAAACUGAGUUGUCUGGUGAUCCCUGACAUUAAAGCAGAGAGAAAGUUUCCAGCUCAAAGUAGAAAAAUAUCUUCUGAUAACUGCACAGCAUGGAGAAGAGAAAAGAGGCAUGGGUUCUGAAACUGGAAAGUGAUUGAUUUACACCCCAAAUCUGAAACUUACCAGGAGCUUGACCUUGAGCAAUGCAACCUUUCGAGGAUCUGGUUUUCUUUUGUAUGACAAAGCUAACUGUACACAUACUUUUGGUGGUUUUGUGGGGAUAACAAACAAUAUAUGUAAGAAGCCCAGCAUAUAUUUAGUAAAGAAUAGGUGUUCCAAUAUAUGAUGUCGGUUCAUGAAGACUUUCCACUACACCAAUAGAUAACACAUAAAAAUAUCCUUUUAGUGUUGCAACAGAAGGACUCACAUAUCAUAAAUGUAGGAAACCAACAAUGAGGUAUAUUAAAUGAUAAAAGCAGGAAAUAGCCACAUAUUUGAUGUAAGGCAAAAAUGUCCUUUCCUCUCUCUCUCUCUGCCUCCCUCCCACUCUCACCACCACUUCAGCAUGGGUGCUUCACAAGUAACUUGUAUCUUCUCCAGUGCCCUUUAAUUGCCUUAACGAUGCCAAAACAACUUUAAAAUUAAUUAAUAAACAGAUAAAUACCUUGUAAAAAUGAACAAAGAACAUAAACGGGAAAUUUUCAAGAGACUAAACGUUUUAAUGCCAGAGUCAUGUAUUAAAUUAUGUUCCUCUGAGAAGGAAAAACACAAGAUGAGCCUGGAGCACCUUGCAGUGGCAUAAAGUAAAGAAAGGAUCAAAAAGAAAAAGAAAAAAGGGAGAAAGAAGGGAAGGAGGAAGGGAGGGAGGGAGGAAGGAAGGAAGAAGGAAGGAAGGAAGGGGGAAGAAAAAGCAAACACACUGAAACGAUCUGGAUACAUAAAAGUGACACAGGAGACAACCAAAAGAGCUCUCGACGGCCAAAUCUGGAACAAUCUGAGCAAUAAAAUAAAGUAGUUAUUGAAUUAUAGCCUAAAGUAUUCAAUAAAUACCCAUGAGGUUAUUUCCAUAUAAAUGGAUGAAUGAAUGAAUAAAGACAAAUCUUCCAUGUAGAAGAAUUCCAAAUAAUUUAUGUAAAUAACUGCCUUCAAGGAGAUGAAGGAUAACUUCUUACUCCUUCAGGGGAGGCUGUGCACAGAGACUUCCUUUGAAUGCAUACAAUAUGGGAAGGGAGAACAAAAGAAUAACUUUAUAGUGGAAGAAUCCGACAAGCACUUCAAUCAAGUAAUCACGGUCAACAUCAGGAUGUAUGAAUCAUGUCGAGAGCAUGUCCCUUGGACGUAAGCAGUGAAAAUGUCACUCUACCUCUGUUAUCGUCCACAUAACCCUUGCAUAAUGAUGAAACAUCAGGCAAAUCCCAGUAAAGAUAUAUUCUACAAACACCUGAAUAGGACUCCUUGAAACUAUCAAGGUCAUCAAAAGCAGAGAAAAUAUAAGGAACUGACACCAGCUUAGAGGAGGCUAUUGAGGCAUCACUAUUAAAUGUAAUGUAAUAUUCUGGAUAGGGUCCUGGAGAGAAUGACAUUUAGGUAAAAACUAAGAAAAUCUGACUUAGCAUGGACUUCAUAAUAUCAAUGUAUAGAGAGUAUUCACUAAUUUUAACAAAUGUACUAUACCACAAGUUAAUAAUAGGGGAAAGGAGUGUUACUGGAAUUCUCCACUAGCUCUGCAAUUUUUCAUACAUUUGAAACUCUUUUUAAAAUGUAAAAAUAUCGUAAUGUUUAUUCUUAUUGUAAAAAGUAUAUAAUUAUUAAAACAUAUCAUUUUUCACAUAUACUGGCAAAGUUUAAGUAUAGAAAUUUGGUAAUUGAUUAUAAAAUAAGCACUUACAUACUGGAAUAAAUUCAUGCAAUUUUUCUAAAGGGUAUUGUGAACACACUCUGAUUUAGCAAUCUCAUUUCUAGAAUUUAUUCCUAUAUGCUUAUCACAUAACUGAGAAACAUACAAGGAUGUUUAUUGUAGCUAAAUGCUUAUCAAUAUGGGACUAAAUCAGUUCUGCAUGCAUACAUCCAACAUUCUACAGCCACCAAAAUUAUGCACAUGUAAACAUUAUAUUCAUAUCACAUCAUUUAUAUAAAAAUUUUAAUAUAGUCCUACUUGUGUAAAUAUUGUAUGAGCCUCUGUGUGUAAACAUACACACACACACAUCUAUACGCAUAUAUAUAUGGUAAACAACAUAUUAGCAGUAGUUAGUGGAAAAUAGUGGGAUAAAGAGUUAUUAUAAUUUCUUUUAAUUGAUUAUUAUAAGGUAUAAUAAAUCUAUUUACUUUGUUAAAGCCAUAUAGUUUGGGGAUUUUAAUUUUAAUUUUUGGACUCCUAGGAGUUAUGUUACCUUCAUAAAUGAGUCAGUAUCCAUGAGCCUCUUUUAUUUAUUUAUUUUUUAAAUUUUAUCAUGAGCCUCUUUUAGCCCCAAGUUUAACGCCCAAGGACAGUUCGCAAAACCCAGCUCCACUUUCUGAGUGCAGCGCUUUGCACCUUAAAUAGCUGGUGGGCAAAAAUAAAAAAUAAAAAUAAAUAAAAAAUAAAAAAAAAACCACUUGCAAUGGGAACAGAAGGAAGCUGAAAUAUUAAGUAGUUAAACAACUUGACCAAGGUGACACCCUUAGUAAGAAACCUCAUCAGGACGCAUAUACUGAUCUGUUUCUUCCAGAACUAGCAUUUCAACCACCGACUGUAAUUCUGGAAACAGAGAUUGCUCGUAUCUUAACUCUGCCACGUCCCAGCUAUGUGGGGGUACAGCAACACAAUAAUCUCUCAGAGCUUCACUUUUAUCAUCUGUAAAAAGGAGGUAACUACACCUAGUUUGCAAAAAUCAUGUGAGAGAAAGAGUAUGGCCCAGAAUAGGUGCU